RNAcentral lists this ribosomal RNA (420 nucleotides) under Scheffersomyces coipomensis. RNAcentral's name for it is "eukaryotic LSU rRNA". It matches the Rfam family "Eukaryotic large subunit ribosomal RNA", at positions 124 to 551 of the family's 3401-position model. The record is from RNAcentral. Lineage: Eukaryota; Fungi; Ascomycota; Pichiomycetes; Serinales; Debaryomycetaceae.
GGCGCCUUCGGUGUCCGAGUUGUAAUUUGAAGAAGGUAACUUUGGUUUUGGCUCUUGUCUAUGUUCCUUGGAACAGGACGUCACAGAGGGUGAGAAUCCCGUGCGAUGAGAUGCCCAAUUCCAUGUAAAGUGCUUUCGAAGAGUCGAGUUGUUUGGGAAUGCAGCUCUAAGUGGGUGGUAAAUUCCAUCUAAAGCUAAAUAUUGGCGAGAGACCGAUAGCGAACAAGUACAGUGAUGGAAAGAUGAAAAGAACUUUGAAAAGAGAGUGAAAAAGUACGUGAAAUUGUUGAAAGGGAAGGGUUUGAGAUCAGACUUGGUAUUUUGUAUGUUUUACUCUCGGGUGAGGCCUCUGCAGUUUACUGGGCCAGCAUCAGUUUGGAUGGUAGGAUAAUGACAUUGGAAUGUGGCUCUUCGGAGUGU